Molecule: RNA transcript, 887 nt
Organism: Triticum dicoccoides
Lineage: Eukaryota; Viridiplantae; Streptophyta; Magnoliopsida; Poales; Poaceae
Gene name: GDSL esterase/lipase At5g45910-like
Exons: 2
Source: RefSeq, a predicted model, not a curated record
CAUGCACUCCGUCCCCACCACGGUCGGGGGUCGGCCGUACCAGGAAAGCAAGAGGACGUCCCAAGCAAGAUGAGCAGCAAGCGGGUGUGCCUGUGCGUCGCCGUUUCCUCGCUCCUCCUCCUCCCACUCGCGGGCCUGGUCUCCGCGGCGGCCGGGCGAUACGACUCCAUCUUCAGCUUCGGCGGCUCCUCCUCCGACACCGGCAACAACCUCAUCGUCUUUCCCCCUAGCGACCGCGUUAACUACGUGCUGCGCCCUCCCUAUGGCUCCACCUUCUUCGGCCGUCCCACCGGCCGCUGCUCCGACGGCCGCCUGGUCAUCGAUUUCAUCGGUACGCCAACGCUACCUACCACUACGUAGUAGACGCAACACCUGGGCCUGCCGUUCGUCCCGCCGUCGCUGGCGCACAACGAAAGCUUCCGCCAAGGCGCCAACUUCGCCGUCAGCGGCUCCACCGCUCUCGACGCCGUUUUCUUCCACCGCCUGCUUCCCCGCACCAGGAGACCUCUCAACACCAGCCUUGGCGUGCAGGUGCAGCUGCGGUGGUUCGAGUCUCUCAAGCCUUCGCUCUGCGGCGCAACCCAAGGUCUCUGUGGUCCAACUCUAAUUCUCGAGUCAUAUACAGUACUUUUUGUCCCAAAUAGAUAACUCAACUUUAUACUAAACUUAGUACAACGUUAGUAUAAAGUCGAGUCACUUAUUUUGAGACAAAGGGACACUAGUAAAAAAGGGCCAAUUGUCCCGGUUCGUAAGGGCCUUUUGUCCCGGUUUUGGAACCGGGACUAAAAGGUCGUUAAUAAUGCCCUUGACAUUUAGUCUCUGUUCUUACACAAACCGGGACAGAUGUGUCUCCACGUGGCCGGUGCGGCGAGCCCAGGCUGGAGGCC